GAAUGAGUCGGAUCAGUUUGGAGAUUACAGUUCAGAUGAACAGACGUGUGUGCAAAUAAGUGGAAUAUUGUAAAAAAAAAUGGCGUCAUCCCACAAAAUGAAGCUUAUGAUGAAAUAUUGGUGCUUGCCGUUCACUGACUCAAGAUCGUUCAGUGGUUAUCAUUGGCCAAUCUCACCAACGGGAUAUACUGAUCGUUUAUGUACCCGUGGCCAAGUAACAGCAAAGCGAGGUAAAAUGAGUAAAAAUUAAGUUUGAACUAAACUGAAAUUAUAUUAAAAAUAAAAUAAUUUAUAAAACAAUUAAUUGUAUUGUAUUUUUAUUGUAAUGUUGGAGUAUAAUGUAUUCUAAAUCCUACUGUAUUUCUAUUGUAAAACAAUAGAAACAGUAAUUGAAAACAUUUAAAACACAAUGUUUUCUAUUGUUUUGUUGCUCGAAAUCAUCCCAUUGAAGAACCGUUAAAUCAAUUGUUUUGCUCAGAUUUUUAUAUGGAAAAUUUUCGAUUUUUUUAUUGUAAAGAUACAUAACAACCCCCCUUUUUUAUUGUAAAAGUCCCAUUUACCAUUCAUUUUAUCGUGGAAAACCAUUAUUUCUCAUGUGAUUUUAUUGUCAAAAUUCCAUUAUAUUCAAUGGUAAAACCUAUGUUUUAAAUGGUGUUGUAACAAUAAAAUUUAUGAUAUUUUAAUGAU
Molecule: long non-coding RNA, 687 nt
Organism: Armigeres subalbatus
Lineage: Eukaryota; Metazoa; Arthropoda; Insecta; Diptera; Culicidae
Exons: 3
Source: RefSeq, a predicted model, not a curated record